Molecule: transfer RNA, 74 nt
Filed under: Gemmatimonadota bacterium
Lineage: Bacteria; Pseudomonadati; Gemmatimonadota
Description: Gemmatimonadetes bacterium (sponge metagenome) tRNA-Pro
Rfam family: tRNA
About the family: Transfer RNA (tRNA) molecules are approximately 80 nucleotides in length. Their secondary structure includes four short double-helical elements and three loops (D, anti-codon, and T loops).
Source: RNAcentral
CGGGGCGUGGCGCAGCCCGGCAGCGCGCCUGAAUGGGGUUCAGGAGGUCCCGGGUUCAAAUCCCGGCGCCCCGA